CAGGGCGAAUGUCUUGUAAUUGGAAUGAUGGUGACCCAAACCCUCACCAGAGUAGCAAUUGGAGGGCAAGUCUGGUGCCAGCAGCCGCGGUAAUUCCAGCUCCAAUAGCGUAUAUUAAACUUGUUGCAGUUAAAAAGCUCGUAGUUGUAUUUUUGCGUUGACGGUUUGACCAUUUGGUUGGUUAUUUCGUUUUCGCUUUUGGGAAUUUCCCUUUUUACUUUGAGAAAAUUAGAGUGUUUCAAGCAGACUUUUGUCUUGAAUACUUCAGCAUGGAAUAAUAGAGUAGGACUUUGGUUCUAUUUUGUUGGUUAUUGAACCUUAGUAAUGGUUAAUAGGAACGGUUGGGGGCAUUCGUAUUUAACUGUCAGAGGUGAAAUUCUUAG
This 383-nucleotide ribosomal RNA is filed under the name Babesia canis. RNAcentral's name for it is "SSU rRNA". It matches the Rfam family "Eukaryotic small subunit ribosomal RNA", at positions 486 to 923 of the family's 1831-position model. Lineage: Eukaryota; Apicomplexa; Aconoidasida; Piroplasmida; Babesiidae. The record is from RNAcentral.